GACGUAGGGCGCGAGCGUUGUCCGGAUUUAUUGGGCGUAAAGAGCUCGUAGGCGGCUUGUCGCGUCGUCCGUGAAAACCUGCAGCUCAACUGCAGGCUUGCGGUCGAUACGGGCAGGCUAGAGUUCGGUAGGGGAGACUGGAAUUCCUGGUGUAGCGGUGAGAUGCGCAGAUAUCAGGAGGAACACCGGUGGCGAAGGCGGGUCUCUGGGCCGAUACUGACGCUGAGGAGCGAAAGCGUGGGGAGCGAACAGG
This 253-nucleotide ribosomal RNA is filed under the name uncultured bacterium. RNAcentral describes it as "partial 16S ribosomal RNA". It matches the Rfam family "Bacterial small subunit ribosomal RNA", at positions 524 to 776 of the family's 1533-position model. The record is from RNAcentral.